RNAcentral lists this ribosomal RNA (253 nucleotides) under uncultured bacterium. RNAcentral describes it as "partial 16S ribosomal RNA". It matches the Rfam family "Bacterial small subunit ribosomal RNA", at positions 524 to 776 of the family's 1533-position model. The record is from RNAcentral.
UACGUAGGGUCCGAGCGUUGUCCGGAAUUACUGGGCGUAAAGAGCUCGUAGGUGGUUUGUUGCGUUGUUCGUGAAAACUCACAGCUCAACUGUGGGCGUGCGGGCGAUACGGGCAGACUGGAGUACUGCAGGGGAGACUGGAAUUCCUGGUGUAGCGGUGGAAUGCGCAGAUAUCAGGAGGAACACCGAUGGCGAAGGCAGGUCUCUGGGCAUUAACUGACGCUGAGGAGCGAAAGCAUGGGGAGCGAACAGG